UACGUAGGGGGCUAGCGUUAUCCGGAUUUACUGGGCGUAAAGGGUGCGUAGGUGGUUUCUUAAGUCAGAGGUGAAAGGCUACGGCUCAACCGUAGUAAGCUUUUGGAACUGUAAGACUUGAGUGCAGGAGAGGAGAGUGGAAUUCCUAGUGUAGCGGUGAAAUGCGUAGAUAUUAGGAGGAACACCAGUUGCGAAGGCGGCUCUCUGGACUGUAACUGACACUGAGGCACGAAAGCGUGGGGAGCAAACAGGAUUAGAUACCCCCGUAGUCCCUGAGCGGG
This 281-nucleotide ribosomal RNA is filed under the name uncultured prokaryote. RNAcentral's name for it is "partial 16S ribosomal RNA". It matches the Rfam family "Bacterial small subunit ribosomal RNA", at positions 524 to 803 of the family's 1533-position model. The record is from RNAcentral.